UACGAAGGGGGCUAGCGUUGUUCGGAAUCACUGGGCGUAAAGGGCGCGUAGGCGGCCGAUCAAGUCGGGGGUGAAAGCCUGUGGCUCAACCACAGAAUUGCCUUCGAUACUGUUUGGCUUGAGACCGGAAGAGGUUAGUGGAACUGCGAGUGUAGAGGUGAAAUUCGUAGAUAUUCGCAAGAACACCAGUGGCGAAGGCGGCUCACUGGCCCGAUACUGACGCUGAGGCGCGAAAGCGUGGGGAGCAAACAGG
Molecule: ribosomal RNA, 253 nt
Filed under: uncultured bacterium
Lineage: Bacteria
Description: partial 16S ribosomal RNA
Rfam family: Bacterial small subunit ribosomal RNA
Source: RNAcentral